Sinocyclocheilus rhinocerous is the source of this 256-nucleotide long non-coding RNA. RefSeq lists it as uncharacterized. The transcript is spliced from 3 exons. Lineage: Eukaryota; Metazoa; Chordata; Actinopteri; Cypriniformes; Cyprinidae. The record is from RefSeq and is a predicted model, not a curated record.
UUUAACAUUGGCUGAACUUGCGAUGAUAUUGGUGCUUCGGAAGUGAGGGAUCAUUACCCCUGUCCAGAGUGGUCUGUCUGCGUUUGGUCACCCACCCACUGCGUUUGAUCUGCUUUUUCCAGGUCCUCACCCUCUACAUCUGGAAUGAUGACACACUCUUCUGCAAUUCGGGCUUUCAGUCCCACUGGCAGAUCAUCUUGAUGCAGUGUGCAACAUCAACCCGAACAAAACAAGGUGGCACUUUUGCAGACUGAUU